UGGGGGAUGGAGUCUUGCUCUGUUGCCCAGGCUAGAGUGCAGUGGUGCGAUCUCGGCUCACUGCAACCUCCACCUCCUGGGUUUAAGCAAUUCUCUUGGCUUAGCCUCCUGAGUAGCUGGGAUUACAGGCACACGCCACCACAACCAGCUACUUUUUGUUUAGUAGAGACAGGGUUUCGCCAUGUUGGCCAGGCUAGUCUUGAAUUCCUGACCUCAAGUGAUCCAUCCGUCUUGGCCUCCAAAAGUGCUGGUAUUACAAGCGUGAGCCACCAUACCCGGCCCAUUUAUUUAUUUUAGAGACAGGGUCUCACUAUGUUGCCCAGGCUGGUCUUGAACUUCUGGGCUCAAGUGAUCCUCCUGCCUCAGCCUCCCAAAGUGCUGGGAUUACAGGCGUGAGCCACUGCACCCAGCCCAGAUAUUUAUUUUUGAAUGAUGCUAGGCUCUGAGGAUGCAAAGGUUGUUUCAGUUGUUAUUCCUGCUCUGCAGGAGUUCCCAGUCCAGGAGGAGAUAGUGGCAGGAGUGACAAACUAUGCCCCAGAAAGCCAGGAAAGGCUCCUCUGGCAAGUGACGUUGAACUAGGACUUGAAGAUCAAGUAGGAGUUCACCAGGCAGACAGGAUGAGGUUAGCUGGGAUAUUUCAACAGCAUGGACAACAGGGCAUGAGAAAAUGGGAAGAGAGAAUGGGCAAGGGGUCAUCGAUGGACCGGAGAUGGGAUGGUAGGGACAGAAACUGCAGGGUCCGCAGAAGGAACUGCUCACCGAAAGCCAACAAGCUUGCCCUGUGGAAUCCCAGAAAGGCCCAGGAACUUCGGGACAUCACUGAAGGCAGAGUGAAGAGAGGAAGAGAAGACAGAGAAAUGGAGGGGAGAAAACUAUUAAAAUAAGUAAUAAGAAAACUUUCCCCAGAAGUGCAGAAUCUGAAUUUCCAGUAUAAAAGGGUCCAUUGAGCGCCAAGAACAAUGAAGGAAAAAAGGUCCCACUCAGGCCUACGUAUCAUUGUGAAAUUUCAGAACUAGAGGGAUAAAGAAAAGAUCCUAAAAGCUUCCCGAGAGAUAAAAAAGAAGAUUUUUACAAAGGAUCAGCAAUCAGAAUUGCCUCAGACUGCUCAAUAAAAACAUCAGAA
RNAcentral lists this long non-coding RNA (1123 nucleotides) under Homo sapiens (human). RNAcentral's name for it is "non-protein coding lnc-PHF21A-1:3". Lineage: Eukaryota; Metazoa; Chordata; Mammalia; Primates; Hominidae. The record is from RNAcentral.